CGCUCCGGCUGCGCUGCCCGCGGCCGAGGUGCGCGCUGUAUGCCGGUGGGGCAUCGCUCCCAGCUGGGGUUGUUCCCGCUGCGGGGGUCCUGCGCGCCCCGCGGUUGGAGGUCCCGCUCCCACGGCUUGAGCGCAAGUGCUGUGGGCUGCGGCUGAGGGAGAUGGGAUGGUUCGGUGUGGGGAGGAGGAGGUUAGGGGGAGAGCGCGUUGUUCUCUACGCUCUCUGAAAGGAGAGUGGUGAAGUGGGGAUUGGGUCUUUUUUCUCAGGUAGCGAUGAAAGAAUGAGAGGGAACGGCCUCGAGUUGUGCCAGGGAAAGUUCAGGUUGGACGUUAGGAAAAAUUCUUCUCUAGAAGUGGUGAUGCAUUACAACGAGCUGCCCAGGGAGGGGAUGGGGUCACUGGUCCUGGAGGCAUUCAAGAACUGUGUAGAUGUGGCACUGAGGGAUGUGGUCAGUGGGCAGCAUUGGUGGCAGGUGGAUGGUUGGACUAGAGGGUCUUAGUGUUUUUUUCCAACCUUACUGAUUCAAUGACUCAUGUGGGCUUUUCUCUCUUACCAGUGGGAAGCAAGGAGGAAGGAUGCUUAGAAGAAAGGCUGAUGGCCUGUUCUCACUGGCAAUGGGGGAAAGGGUGAGGCAGGACUGGGAAGGAUAAAGCUAUCACUGCCGGCUGGGAGCCAAGCAGACAGGCUGAAGUUUCGUGAGCAGCACUGCACCGACAGACAGAUGUCAUGCCCAGGCUGGCCUGCUGUAUCUAUUCCGGGUUUUGCAGCAGGGCAGAGGCCCGGGGCUGUGCAGCCGGCAGGUGGCAGCAGCUCGUUUCCAGCGGGGCCGGAUGGAUCCCGGUGCGGGGCUGCGGGCACUGAGAUCGGUGGAAUUACUUUCCAGUUUACUGCAGUGGACAAAGUGCGUGGCAAAGACGUGUUUCCUUUUUACACGCUGUGCUGGUUUUGGUUGGAUUACAGCUGUGACCUCAAUCUCUGUACACAAAGUUACUUUCAGGAAGAUUCAGAGGACCUCAGCAUUUCAUGCUGACAACAGGAUGGGAUGGAACAGAGCAGCCCCACGCUCACCAUGGAGGAGGAAAUGGGACCAGUGCUGCACAUUUUCCAGUUUCUGGCAGUCCCCUCUCAGGAGAGGUGCCCCCAGAAAGCAGAUAGCGUGUGCUGUUUCUUAUGGCAGUGAAGUGAAAAACUUGUUAUGGAUACAGGAGUUCAUUUUGAGAUGUGAAAGACUGCUGGCUGUGUAGCAGCACUGCUUCCUUCCUGGUAGAGGAGUCCUGUCCCAUUGACUCAAGAUGAAAUGAUGACCGUUCCCCAUCACAGUAGAACACUUCUAUGACGUUGCAGUACAACCAGAAUGGUAAGAUAAAGAAUACUGAUUGCAAUUCUGCAUUUUAAAUCCUACGGAUUUAUCUAACCUUUGCAUAACUAUCAAGUCUUCUAAGAUUCCAAAGCAGUGAACAGCGUCAGUACAGAGAAGUUAAGGAAUAUAACUCAGGUGAUACAACCUGACUUCUCAUUGUGUAGCUGUUAGUGUUAAAGUUCCUGGGAAUGUCCACAUUUGUCUCUUGUUUGCUUUCAGAAGUGAUGUCAGUUAUAAGCAAAGUUGCAUCAUUCUUCUAUAUGUCCAGAUACUUGUUAGCACUUGUACAAAUUCAGGUGUUGAAGUAGUACAAAUUCAGUGUGUGGAAGGAGUUGAUCAGUUUUUUUUUCCACAAUGUCCCACUCCUUUUAUAAAAGUUUGCCAAGCCAAGAAGAAUAGUUUAAUAGUUACCUAAGAACCAAACUUGACAAACCAGGUCAUUCCAUACAAGUAGCUGUGGUAAUAAGCUCCAGAAUCUAAAUAUAUAAAAACAUCAAACUUCAAAUUUCAGAGCUCCUUGAAGAAAAGAGCUCUAGAUUUCUCCAGAAGAGCAGGUGUGUAUUCCUUAGUCAAGUUAAUAUGAAGUGCAGUAAGCACCAGGCAGUAGUGACCUUUUUUCUGUUUGCCUUAUUGUGUACAGGAAUUCACACAAAAUGAAAUGAGCUGGGCAGGUUGUUUGGGUGGUCUUAGAUCUAAAAUCUGAGCUCGGACCACAAGAUCAUGUGUACAGAAACACUGUCAAUUCUUUGCAUUCUGACCAACAAGUUAAAAAAAUUGCUUAGGAUAGGAGACUAAAUGCCACAAAAGAUAUUAGUUCAAUUUCUCAUUCUCCUUAUGAUAUUAUUUUUGUAUUGAUAAAUUAUUUUUCUUUGAAAACAUAAAAAGAGCUGAAUUGUGGUUAAAAGAGUUUAAUUUUGAAUAAGCUGCAAAAAGUACUGGAAUAUGGCGUAGCAGACUGAAAGAUUUAUUUUCUUUACCAUACGCUUGUGACAGCAACAAAAAUUUGUUUCAAAUUAUUCUUGGUCGUAAACCUUUCUCUUGCUGCUCAAAAGUUCAUCAUUCUACAUGGAAGCACCAUAAAAGUGCUAGCAAAAGUGCCAUAUUAACAGGAUUGCAGUUUUCAGUGUUAAGUCAUAGCAGCAAAAUGGGCGUAUGCAAAAUUUCUCUGUAGAUGGGUUUGCAGUUGUUUGUUAUGUGAUGAUGAACGAAGGUCUGAGCUUGAAUUCCAGUUCCAGACCCAGAGUACAAUGAACAGCAUGAACUGACUGCUAGAACUGUUGGUGCUAUCACUGCUUGCUGUGUAAAAGUAGCAAAAAACUUUAGCUAGGAUCAAUAUACUAUAAUAAUCUUUACAGUCACAGAGGGAAGUUGGUUCUGUGCUUAGAAGAACUUUGUCUCUAUUUACCUUUCUGUUUAUUGACAUUAUUCUGUGUCAAAGUUUAGUCAAAUCAAUAUUAGUCAUUGUGAAAAGUCCACAAAUGAGAGCAGUGCAGAUGCAGCUGUGUUCGCUCAGCCUUUGUGCAUGCUGCUCCAAAAUUGUAGGUUUUCAGAAGUGUGAUCAAAGGUAAUUUUUAUCUGCCUGGGUGUUACUGUUUUUUAAUGGUGAGUAAAUAAGAAGGAAACACAAGAGAAAACGCUGUUUGUUUUAGUAACACGUUAUAUACAAAAAUGGAAUGUAGGAGUAGACUUAGUUUAGGGUGAAGUGACAAUUUCUGUGAACACACUGGGGGAAUUUAAAUGCCUACCACAAAAUAGCUUGUGUGUUUGAAGGGCUUCUGCUAUGCUGUUUGAUAAUGACCUUCAUGGAAGCUGGGGGGAAGGUUAAAAGCUCACAGAAUAAAAUUGGGUGCCUAAAUUGGGAGUUGUAGCCACAGAUGCAGUCUCAGAAAACAUUUCCCAAGUUAGUAAUGGAAACACUAAGUUGCCUCAUUAUUAUCUGAUAAGUGCUUCAUAAAACGUGGCUGAAGUAUUUAGUUUAAUGAUACACAAAGCCAGAAAAUGAAAGUGCUAUCUAAAAUUAAAUACAGUGUAUAGAGGAAAUUGCAGUUGCUCAGAAAUAAGAAAUUUAGAAGGGAUAACUGUGUAACCAUAGAGGUGGUAGGAACAAGAAUCUAGUGUUUGUGCAGAGCUGACCAUGGGGGAUGAAAUGGUCUGUCACUGCUACAUGAACAUGAAAUUCGUCUGAUGAGUGUACUCCCUGGUUGGAGUGACUGUACUUACAUUCCCUUCCAUACAGCUCACUAGAAGCCAAGAAAGGAGAGAAGAAAUGGAUCCUUCUGUAAGUCUUUUUGGAGCUGCUUUUGCCUUGGUGGCCAGGAAGCAAAUGAGCAGCACUGACUAUAUUUAAUUAGGGUAUUAGACUUCCAGUAACAUUUUGUUUAUACUUAAAAGCAGUAGAGUAAUUGACUGUUAAAAACAUAUAUCUGUAAAAGGUACAGGAAUAAAUGUUUUUAAAGAUGAAUAAUCUAUUAUAUUAGAUAGUCCUGGGUGUUGGAGAAAAUCAGAUAAGCGUGCAGGUCAGGUCUUGUUCAGUUAUAACCUUAAACCAUUCUGACUUGAACCACACUAUUCUUACGAAGUGCAGUUAUGUCUUGAACACUUGAUCUCUUCUUUUCCAUUUCAUGUGGCUGUCACGAGUGAUCGUACUGCAUAUGCUUUUCUAGGAAUGUAUUCUGGGAAGAAACAACAGAAAGGCUGGGAGUUGUAUAUUGAACUUCAUGUCUUUGUCCUUGCUGUGAAGACAGACCUUCCACAUUGAGUGAAGAUGCCUGU
Molecule: long non-coding RNA, 4133 nt
Organism: Meleagris gallopavo (turkey)
Lineage: Eukaryota; Metazoa; Chordata; Aves; Galliformes; Phasianidae
Source: Ensembl